AUUGAACGCUGGCGGCAUGCCUUACACAUGCAAGUCGAACGGCAGCACGGGAGCAAUCCUGGUGGCGAGUGGCGAAACGGGUGAGUAAAGUAUCGGAACGUACCUUUCAGUGGGGGGAUAACGUAGCGAAAGUUACGCUAAUACCGCAUAUUCUGUGAGCAGGAAAGCAGGGGGAUCGCAAGACCUUGCGCUGAUGGAGCGGCCGAUAUCAGAUUAGCUAGUUGGUGAGGUAAAGGCCCACCAAGGCGACGAUCUGUAGCUGGU
This 264-nucleotide ribosomal RNA is filed under the name uncultured bacterium. RNAcentral's name for it is "partial 16S ribosomal RNA". It matches the Rfam family "Bacterial small subunit ribosomal RNA", at positions 30 to 291 of the family's 1533-position model. The record is from RNAcentral.